This 492-nucleotide ribosomal RNA is filed under the name uncultured bacterium. Its description in RNAcentral is "partial 16S ribosomal RNA". It matches the Rfam family "Bacterial small subunit ribosomal RNA", at positions 29 to 507 of the family's 1533-position model. The record is from RNAcentral.
AGUGAACGCUGGCGGUAGGCCUAACACAUGCAAGUCGAACGGCAGCACAGUAAGAGCUUGCUCUUACGGGUGGCGAGUGGCGGACGGGUGAGGAAUACAUCGGAAUCUACUUUUUCGUGGGGGAUAACGUAGGGAAACUUACGCUAAUACCGCAUACGACCUACGGGUGAAAGCAGGGGAUCUUCGGACCUUGCGCGAUUGAAUGAGCCGAUGCCGGAUUAGCUAGUUGGCGGGGUAAAGGCCCACCAAGGCAACGAUACGUAGCUGGGCUGAGAGGAUGAUCAGCCACACUGGAACUGAGACACGGUCCAGACUCCUACGGGAGGCAGCAGUGGGGAAUAUUGGACAAUGGGCGCAAGCCUGAUCCAGCCAUACCGCGUGGGUGAAGAAGGCCUUCGGGUUGUAAAGCCCUUUUGUUGGGAAAGAAAAGCUGCAUGUUAAUCCCCCGCUGUUCUGACGGUACCCAAAGAAUAAGCACCGGCUAACUUCGUG